RNAcentral lists this ribosomal RNA (415 nucleotides) under uncultured bacterium. RNAcentral's name for it is "bacterial SSU rRNA". It matches the Rfam family "Bacterial small subunit ribosomal RNA", at positions 29 to 490 of the family's 1533-position model. The record is from RNAcentral.
AGCGAACGCUGGCGGCAGGCUUAACACAUGCAAGUCGAGCGGGCGUAGCAAUACGUCAGCGGCAGACGGGUGAGUAACACGUGGGAACGUACCUUUGGUUCGGAACAACACAGGGAAACUUGUGCUAAUACCGGAUAAGCCCUUACGGGGAAAGAUUAUCGCCGAAAGAUCGGCCCGCGUCUGAUUAGCUAGUUGGUGAGGUAACGGCUCACCAAGGCGACGAUCAGUAGCUGGUCNGAGAGGAUGAUCAGCCACACUGGGACUGAGACACGGCCAGACUCCUACGGGAGGCAGCAGUGGGGAAUAUUGGACAAUGGGCGCAAGCCUGAUCCAGCCAUGCCGCGUGAGUGAUGAAGGCCCUAGGGUUGUAAAGCUCUUUUGUGCGGGAAGAUAAUGACGGUACCGCAAGAAUAAG